CAAGUCGAACGAGAAAGUGGAGCAAUCCAUGAGUAAAGUGGCGCACGGGUGAGUAACACGUGACUAACCUACCCUUGAGUGGGGAAUAACCUAGGGAAACCUGGGCUAAUACCGCAUAACACCUACGGGUCAAAGGAGCAAUUCGCUUAAGGAGGGGGUCGCGGCAGAUUAGCUAGUUGGCGGGGUAAUGGCCCACCAAGGCGGUGAUCUGUAUCCGGCCUGAGAGGGCGCACGGACACACUGGAACUGAAACACGGUCCAGACUCCUACGGGAGGCAGCAGUGGGGAAUUUUGCGCAAUGGGGGAAACCCUGACGCAGCAACGCCGCGUGGAGGAUGAAGUCCCUUGGGACGUAAACUCCUUUCGAUCGGGACGAUUAUGACGGUACCGGAGGAAGAAGCCCCGGCUAACUUCGUGCCAGCAGCCGCGGUAAUACGAGGGGGGCAAGCGUUGUUCGGAAUUAUUGGGCGUAAAGGGUGCGUAGGCGGUUCGGUAAGUCUUAUGUGAAAUCUUCAGGCUCAACUUGAAGUCUGCAUGAGAAACUGCCGGGCUUGAGUGUGGGAGAGGUGAGUGGAAUUUCCGGUGUAGCGGUGAAAUGCGUAGAUAUCGGAAGGAACACCUGUGGCGAAAGCGGCUCACUGGACCAUAACUGACGCUGAUGCACGAAAGCUAGGGGAGCAAACAGGAUUAGAUACCCUGGUAGUCCUAGCCCUAAACGAUGAUCGCUUGGUGUGACGGGUACCCAAUCCCGCCGUGCCGAAGCUAACGCGUUAAGCGAUCCGCCUGGGGAGUACGGUCGCAAGGCUGAAACUCAAAGGAAUUGACGGGGGCCCGCACAAGCGGUGGAGCAUGUGGUUUAAUUCGACGCAACGCGAAGAACCUUACCUGGGCUCGAAAUGUACAGGAAUCCGGUGGAAACAUCGGCGCCCCGCAAGGGGCCUGUAUAAUAGGUGCUGCAUGGCUGUCGUCAGCUCGU
RNAcentral lists this ribosomal RNA (976 nucleotides) under uncultured bacterium. Its description in RNAcentral is "bacterial SSU rRNA". It matches the Rfam family "Bacterial small subunit ribosomal RNA", at positions 58 to 1063 of the family's 1533-position model. The record is from RNAcentral.